Molecule: ribosomal RNA, 200 nt
Filed under: uncultured bacterium
Lineage: Bacteria
Description: partial 16S ribosomal RNA
Rfam family: Bacterial small subunit ribosomal RNA
Source: RNAcentral
ACGCUCGACACCUACGGGAGCAGCAGUGGGGAAUAUUGCACAAUGGGCGAAAGCCUGAUGCAGCAACGCCGCGUGAGCGAAGAAGGCCUUCGGGUCGUAAAGCUCUGUCCUCAAGGAAGAUAAUGACGGUACUUGAGGAGGAAGCCCGGCUAACUACGUGCCGGCAGCCGCGGUAAUACUGAGCGGGCGUGGCGAAGGCG